GGAUAUGAGAGUAAUCUGACUGCGCUAGGUCAGGCUGUUGAUCUCCAGGGUUGAGUCGGCUGAUGGAGCUGGCUAGGCGGAUAUCUGUUUCCUUGUUUUAGCUCCAGGUGCUUCCAUUCCAAAACUGCACACUUAGCUUAAAAGGACAACCACCCGCAGUCGAGGAGGGCUGGAUCGCUCUUCAGGCACGGGUCUGAGUAACUACAUUUCUCUGAAAGAACUCCCAAACAGGCUGUCAAGAGGAACAAUGUCAUGUCCUCAGUAGGGAAAUAGAUAGCAUCGUCACGUGAAGUGAAAUAAACCAGACUUAGACAAAUACUGAAUGUUUUCUAUCAUACGUU
RNAcentral lists this small nuclear RNA (341 nucleotides) under Peromyscus maniculatus bairdii (prairie deer mouse). RNAcentral describes it as "7SK RNA (ENSPEMG00000003385.2)". It matches the Rfam family "7SK RNA". Rfam says of the family: 7SK was discovered as an abundant small nuclear RNA in the mid-70s but a possible function has only recently been suggested. Two independent studies have found that 7SK RNA binds the CDK9/cyclin T complex (known as elongation factor P-TEFb). P-TEFb activates transcription by phosphorylating the C-terminal domain of RNA polymerase II. The record is from Rfam by way of RNAcentral. Lineage: Eukaryota; Metazoa; Chordata; Mammalia; Rodentia; Cricetidae.